RNAcentral lists this unclassified non-coding RNA (219 nucleotides) under Glomus sp. RNAcentral's name for it is "partial contains 5.8S ribosomal RNA and internal transcribed spacer 2". The stretch from base 1 to 71 matches the Rfam family "5.8S ribosomal RNA", at positions 84 to 154 of the family's 154-position model. Lineage: Eukaryota; Fungi; Glomeromycota; Glomeromycetes; Glomerales; Glomeraceae. The record is from RNAcentral.
GUGAAUCAUCGAAUUUUUGAACGCAAAUUGCACUCUCUGGUAUUCCGGAGAGUAUGCCUGUUUGAGGGUCAGUUAAAUAAAAAUCGGUGUUUUGUUGUCGCUUUGCGUAGUGACGCAUCGGGUUUGGGUCGUCUUACCUUCGUUUAGUUGACCUAAAAUUUUGCAUGAUUUUUUUCGAACGAUUUUAAAUGAUUUUAGUUACUUUUCCAAUAUCAAAUA